UCCUCGUUAGGUGAGGCUCCUAUAUGGAUGUAAGCUGCUACCCAGAAAUGUCGAGAGACACCAAUGGGUUAACAGAGACUAUCGACAUAAGGUAGUAUCUAAUGCAGUGGGAAAAAUCCAAGCCAUAUAGUGCUAAAACUCCACGAUGGAG
RNAcentral lists this small RNA (151 nucleotides) under Candidatus Pseudogracilibacillus intestinigallinarum. RNAcentral's name for it is "M-box riboswitch (ykoK leader)". It matches the Rfam family "M-box riboswitch aptamer (ykoK leader)". Rfam says of the family: M-box riboswitch, also know as ykoK leader is described as a metaloregulatory RNA that sense divalent metals and function as a genetic control element of genes related to divalent metal transport in bacteria. It was first reported upstream of the B.subtilis ykoK gene and genes with related functions in other bacteria. The record is from RNAcentral. Lineage: Bacteria; Bacillati; Bacillota; Bacilli; Caryophanales; Bacillaceae.